AUUUCAAGAACUAAUUCACGUAUUUGGAGAGAAAAAAAAUAUAUUUUUUAAAUAAAAAUGCGGGAUAUGUUUUUUUAUUUGUAUGAAAGGUGUCCAAGUUCUGGGAAUUUGUUAAGACCUCUUUUCCGGGAAAGAAAACGUUGCAGACUUUCGUUGUCUAAUGUACAAAGUGGAGGCCCAAUCACAAACUAAUUAUGACUUCUCUUUUUGAGUAAUACAAAUACACAUUCGACCAAAUAAAUAAAAUAAACUAUGUCUACGCUCGGACAUCGGCUAUCUACAUUUUUAUUUAAUAUACAUGACGCAAUAUAUAGCCAUAAUGCAAGUUUCACCACGUUAAUUUCAGAAAUAAAUUGAUUGAAAACUUUUCAACAAGUUCAUCCAUCCACACAUUUAUAUAAUAAUAGAAUUUGUAUUAUAUUAUUUAUGAGAGAGAGAGAGAGAGGUGUGUGUCUAGGAAACUUACAAAACUGCGUCUCCUUGUCCUUGCGCUAAAAUACCAUCUACGUACUAUCAUCCGAGAUUCAAAUACAGUUGGCGGCUUUGGCCCUUUUCAGUUUCUUUCCGCGAAACUAGUAAUCUCUCUCUCUCUCUCUCUCUCUCUCUCUCGUGUGUGUAUAUAUACGCACGCAUAUAUAUACCCUCUUAAUUAUAAUUGGGAAAAAGAAGUGUACGUGUAGUGAGAGAGAAGAGAUCAUCAAUGGCGAGGGAGGCAUCACGUGUAGCUCUUAUCAUCAUAUCUUUGCUUCUUCUACUUUUAUGUCUAUCCUCUCAACUUGGGGUUGCCGCCGCCAUUAGACACCGCAAACUAGCGGACGAUGACGGCGAAGAGAGAGGACUGACCCCACCGUCGCACUCAUGCGGAGCAGGGAUUGGAAACAAUCCUUCAAUAGUCACAGACAGGGUCCGACGAUCACCAGGCUGUAGAAGAAGAUCUCCACGUGCUUCCGCUCAGAACCACGCCACGUCAUCCCCUUGAAGAACCACCCGUCCACUUCUAGCCGUUUUUAUAUAUAAAUAAUGUGCAUGCAUGCGCUUGAUUAUGUCUUGUAAUUUUGUUUUUAUAUUUAUUCUUUCUGGGGGUAAAAGGGUGAUUCUAUUAAUACUUUCAAACAUAUAAAAAAAAAUGUUCAAAUAAAUCUUGAUUUGCAAUAGCGGAUGCUAUCUUGUAAUUUUCUUGGACCUUCAGAUGUGGCUACAAAAUUGUAUAAUUCGUGCGAAAAGUUCAUAUAAUCAAAUAAUCUGAACUUUUUUUUUUU
This is a long non-coding RNA of Tarenaya hassleriana, 1259 nucleotides long. RefSeq lists it as uncharacterized. Lineage: Eukaryota; Viridiplantae; Streptophyta; Magnoliopsida; Brassicales; Cleomaceae. The record is from RefSeq and is a predicted model, not a curated record. The transcript is spliced from 2 exons.